AAGGAAUCCAGUGCCAAAAUACGAAACUUCUUGAAACUUCUGAAGGAUAAAAGUGUCAUUUUAUGGCUACACUUUAUGAUGGAUGUGGUCAAAAGUCUCAGUACCGUCUCUCUGAAGAUUCAGGAUCAACAGAGUACCAUUGCCGAUAUCUACAGUGAAUUAGACAGCGCAAAAGCAAUUUUGAACAAGUUCAAGAGAAGACUUUGGGGAUGAAAAUUUGCAACAACUUGUUACAUCUGCUAGACCAGCCCUAGAGGCAUGUUGUCCCUCUAUUGACAUCGAGGGGAUAGAACUUGAAUGGACACGGCUUAAAACAUCUCUGAUAAAAUACAGGUCAAUCUCACAUCUAACCUGGAAACGACUUUAUGAGGAUUUUGGA
Long non-coding RNA from Saccostrea echinata, 379 nucleotides. RefSeq lists it as uncharacterized. Lineage: Eukaryota; Metazoa; Mollusca; Bivalvia; Ostreida; Ostreidae. The record is from RefSeq and is a predicted model, not a curated record. The transcript is spliced from 3 exons.